AUUGAACGCUGGCGGCAGGCCUAACACAUGCCAGUCGAGCGGAUGAAGGGAGCUUGCUCCUGGAUUCAGCGGCGGACGGGUGAGUAAUGCCUAGGAAUCUGCCUGGUAGUGGGGGAUAACGUCCGGAAACGGGCGCUAAUACCGCAUACGUCCUGAGGGAGAAAGUGGGGGAUCUUCGGACCUCACGCUAUCAGAUGAGCCUAGGUCGGAUUAGCUAGUUGGUGGGGUAAAGGCCUACCAAGGCGACGAUCCGUAACUGGUCUGAGAGGAUGAUCAGUCACACUAGAACUGAGACACGGUCCAGACUCCUACGGGAGGCAGCAGUGGGGAAUAUUGGACAAUGGGCGAAAGCCUGAUCCAGCCAUGCCGCGUGUGUGAAGAAGGUCUUCGGAUUGUAAAGCACUUUAAGUUGGGAGGAAGGGCAGUAAGUUAAUACCUUGCUGUUUUGACGUUACCAACAGAAUAAGCACCGGCUAACUUCGUG
Molecule: ribosomal RNA, 484 nt
Filed under: uncultured bacterium
Lineage: Bacteria
Description: partial 16S ribosomal RNA
Rfam family: Bacterial small subunit ribosomal RNA
Source: RNAcentral